Molecule: ribosomal RNA, 466 nt
Filed under: uncultured bacterium
Lineage: Bacteria
Description: bacterial SSU rRNA
Rfam family: Bacterial small subunit ribosomal RNA
Source: RNAcentral
GUGCCAGACUCCUACGGGAGGCAGCAGUGGGGAAUAUUGCACAAUGGGGGAAACCCUGAUGCAGCGACGCCGCGUGAGUGAAGAAGUAUUUCGGUAUGUAAAGCUCUAUCAGCAGGGAAGAAAUAGCGACCUUUGGGUCGCCAGACGGUACCUGAUUAAGAAGCCCCGGCUAACUACGUGCCAGCAGCCGCGGUAAUACGUAGGGGGCAAGCGUUAUCCGGAUUUACUGGGUGUAAAGGGAGCGUAGACGGCAGAGCAAGUCUGAAGUGAAAGCCCGCGGCCCAACUGCGGGACUGCUUUGGAAACUGCCCGGCUAGAGUGCUGGAGAGGUAAGUGGAAUUCCUAGUGUAGCGGUGAAAUGCGUAGAUAUUAGGAGGAACACCAGUGGCGAAGGCGGCUUACUGGACAGUAACUGACGUUGAGGCUCGAAAGCGUGGGGAGCAAACAGGAUUAGAUACCCUGGUAA